This 432-nucleotide ribosomal RNA is filed under the name uncultured bacterium. RNAcentral's name for it is "partial 16S ribosomal RNA". It matches the Rfam family "Bacterial small subunit ribosomal RNA", at positions 29 to 507 of the family's 1533-position model. The record is from RNAcentral.
ACGAACGCUGGCGGCAUGCCUAACACAUGCAAGUCGAACGAGACCUUCGGGUCUAGUGGCGCACGGGUGCGUAACGCGUGGGAACCUGCCCUUAGGUUCGGAAUAACUCCCCGAAAGGGGUGCUAAUACCGGAUAAUGUCUUCGGACCAAAGAUUUAUCGCCUUUGGAUGGGCCCGCGUUGGAUUAGCUAGUUGGUAGGGUAAAAGCCUACCAAGGCGACGAUCCAUAGCUGGUCUGAGAGGAUGAUCAGCCACACUGGGACUGAGACACGGCCCAGACUCCUACGGGAGGCAGCGGUGGGGAAUAUUGGACAAUGGGCGAGAGCCUGAUCCAGCAAUGCCGCGUGAGUGAUGAAGGCCUUAGGGUUGUAAAGCUCUUUUACCCGGGAUGAUAAUGACAGUACCGGGAGAAUAAGCUCCGGCUAACUCCGUG